This 482-nucleotide ribosomal RNA is filed under the name uncultured bacterium. RNAcentral describes it as "partial 16S ribosomal RNA". It matches the Rfam family "Bacterial small subunit ribosomal RNA", at positions 28 to 507 of the family's 1533-position model. The record is from RNAcentral.
GACGAACGCUGGCGGCGUGCUUAACACAUGCAAGUCGAACGCUGAAGCUCAGCUUGCUGGGUGGAUGAGUGGCGAACGGGUGAGUAACACGUGAGUAACCUGCCCUCUUCUUUGGGAUAACGCCCGGAAACGGGUGCUAAUACUGGAUAUUCACUGAUUCUCGCAUGGGGGUUGGUGGAAAGGUUUUUUCUGGUGGGGGAUGGGCUCGCGGCCUAUCAGCUUGUUGGUGGGGUGAUGGCCUACCAAGGCUUUGACGGGUAGCCGGCCUGAGAGGGUGACCGGUGACAUUGGGACUGAGAUACGGCCCAGACUCCUACGGGAGGCAGCAGUGGGGAAUAUAGCACAAUGGGCGAAAGCCUGAUGCAGCGACGCCGCGUGAGGGAGGGAGGCCUUCGGGUUGUAAACCUCUUUCGCUCAUGGUCAAGCCGCAGCUUUGGGUUGUGGUGAGGGUAGUGGGUAAAGAAGCGCCGGCUAACUACGUG